GGGGCCAUAGCUCAGUUGGUAGAGUGCUUGCCUUGUAAGCACAAGGCCCUGGAUUCAACCCCCAGCAGCACCC
Molecule: non-coding RNA, 73 nt
Organism: Ictidomys tridecemlineatus (thirteen-lined ground squirrel)
Lineage: Eukaryota; Metazoa; Chordata; Mammalia; Rodentia; Sciuridae
Source: Rfam